GACGAACGCUGGCGGCGUGCUUAACACAUGCAAGUCGAACGCUGAAGCGGUGCUUGCACCGUGGAUGAGUGGCGAACGGGUGAGUAACACGUGGGUAAUCUGCCCUGCACUCUGGGAUAAGCCCUGGAAACGGGGUCUAAUACCGGAUAUGACAUCGUGCCGCAUGGUGCGGUGUGGAAAGCUCCGGCGGUGCAGGAUGAGCCCGCGGCCUAUCAGCUUGUUGGUGGGGUGAUGGCCUACCAAGGCGACGACGGGUAGCCGGCCUGAGAGGGUGACCGGCCACACUGGGACUGAGACACGGCCCAGACUCCUACGGGAGGCAGCAGUGGGGAAUCUUGCGCAAUGGGCGAAAGCCUGACGCAGCAACGCCGCGUGGGGGAUGACGGCCUUCGGGUUGUAAACCUCUUUCGACACCGACGAAGCCAUCCUUGGGGUGGUGACGGUAGGUGUAGAAGAAGCACCGGCUAACUAC
This 472-nucleotide ribosomal RNA is filed under the name uncultured Actinomycetes bacterium. RNAcentral's name for it is "bacterial SSU rRNA". It matches the Rfam family "Bacterial small subunit ribosomal RNA", at positions 28 to 504 of the family's 1533-position model. The record is from RNAcentral. Lineage: Bacteria; Bacillati; Actinomycetota; Actinomycetes.